UGGCGAAUUAGCUCAGUCGGUUAGAGCGACGGAAUCAUAAUCCGCAGGUCCGGGGUUCGAGUCCCUGAUUCGCCACCAU
Molecule: transfer RNA, 79 nt
Filed under: Burkholderia pseudomallei 406e
Lineage: Bacteria; Pseudomonadati; Pseudomonadota; Betaproteobacteria; Burkholderiales; Burkholderiaceae
Also listed under: 1 other name
Description: tRNA-Met
Rfam family: tRNA
About the family: Transfer RNA (tRNA) molecules are approximately 80 nucleotides in length. Their secondary structure includes four short double-helical elements and three loops (D, anti-codon, and T loops).
Source: RNAcentral